Molecule: ribosomal RNA, 406 nt
Filed under: uncultured bacterium
Lineage: Bacteria
Description: partial 16S ribosomal RNA
Rfam family: Bacterial small subunit ribosomal RNA
Source: RNAcentral
AUUGAACGCUGGCGGCAGGCCUAACACAUGCAAGUCGAACGAGUGGCGGACGGGUGAGUAAUGUCUGGGUCACUGCCUCAUUGAGGGGGAUAACUACUGUAAACGGUAGCUAAUACCGCAUACCAUCGGAUGUGCCCAGAUGGGAUUAGCUUGUAGUUGGGGUAAAGGCUCACCUAGGCAACGUUCCCUAGCUGGGCGGUGAGGAUGACAAGCCACACUGGAACGGAGACACGGUCCAGACUCCUACGGGAGGGAGGAGUGGGGAAUAUUGCAUAAUGGGAGGAAGGCUGAUGCAGCCAUGCCGAGUGUAUGAAGAAGACCAUCGUGUUGUAAAGUACUUUCAGCGGGGAGGAGUUACCAGAAGAAGAAGCACCGGCUAACUCCGUGCCAGCAGCCGCGGUAAUAC